CUGGGAAUCAAUGUGUGAGGUGGUGCUUUUUAGCAGGAACCCCUCUCGCUUUGCAAAUAGUUUUUUGUUUGUUUUCCUUUUUGCCCAAUAGAGCCCUGCUCUACUGACCCUUCAAUGUGCCCGUGUGCCUAAAUAUUCCUGGUCGUGUGAAAAGAACCCAGGUAUUAGCUGAACUAAGGAGCACAAUUCUGCAACAUUUUGGCACCCAAACACGGGGCUUGAGAAAUGAAUGCAAUUGGAGAAACUGGUUGUUUUACCAGGCGUUGAUUGGAAAUGUGUGCUUCCCUUUAAGCAGUCAAGCUCAACUUGCAGAGCUGAUGGAAACCCCUUGGGAAAACUGGCCUCAAACGUUUGUCUACACAGUCCACAUACAGGGUUCUUAACCUGCGGAAACACUUUCUGAAAAUGUCAGAACUCUUGAAAACAUGGAUGAGGAAAAGCAUAAGUACUGCUUUAUGCUUGUCUUAUGAAUUUUAAAAGAUGUAAUUUAAAGGUACUUUAAAGUGAUAUUUGUGCCCUUGUAACUGAUUCAAAGUAGACUGCUAAGGACAAUAAGUAAUAAGAGUCUACAAAUAUCAAUAAAUUAUGAGAAAAAAACGGUCUAAUGGUACUUAAAAUUGCAUUGUGAUUUAUUAAAUAACAUAUUGAACAGCUCCACCUGUAACAUUAAGAUUCCAUUUGAGCAUAUAGAAAAUAUAUUUAUCGCAACCUGAAGUGAUUUGGAAAGUAUGCUGGGAAGAAAAUAUAUUUACAAAUUAGUCUCAGAGGGUAGGUAUCCUGUAGCCAGAUGGAAUAAGAAGAGAGGGAAGGGAGAUUUUGUUCAAAGGGGGAGCAUAAGCUAAGGAAUAAAGCCACAAGCAAUGAUUAAAUUAGGUAAAGUGCAAUUAGCUGAAUAUUGCAUAAGCAUACAUAUGGGAAGAAGUGGAAAAAGGAGUGACAAUAUGAAGCUAAAGGGUUUGAAGUGUUCAAGAUAAUACUAGGCUUCCUAGCCUAUUCCGAGACAUCUUAUUUUAGAGUGCAAUAGAUAAGAACUCUAAGGAUGAAAGUAGGAGACAUGCAUUCUAGUCUACGUUUUGGUUAAUGGACUGAAAGUGAAAGAUGGACUGAAAUUGGGGGAUGGAAUAAAAAUGUGAUAGAAUAGAAAAUAGAAAAAUCAAUUAGCCUAAUGUGAUUGAUACUUAGAGAAAAUAUGGAAAAUAGUAAAUUGGUGAUAUAUAUCUUUUCUAAUUCACCAGGGUGAGUGAACAAAGGAAAUCGGAUUUAAAAGUAUUCAUGACAUAGAUGCAAUAAGGUUUCUCAGUCAGACAUAGCAAAUUGAGGGAAGGGAAGAUUUAGAGGAUUGGAAAAUGUCUUGCUUGUAGACUAAUAGGAUAUCAAUAAGCCAUAUGAGCAAUAAUUUGAAAUCGUUUUUGUAAAGUAUCAUGAAGGUAAACCCUGUUUAGAACAAAUUAGAUUUGAAGUACUUGUGACAAAUGCAGUUAACAAUGCCUUUAUGCAGCUGGAAAAUUGUUGCUUAGCAGAAAAGCUUGUGCUGGACAAAUAGAUGUCCAAAUUGAAUAGAUGUUUUCUUAAGCUGAACUAAUUGAGACAAAUAUCCUUAUUAAAUCAAAAAA
RNAcentral lists this long non-coding RNA (1613 nucleotides) under Pan troglodytes (chimpanzee). RNAcentral's name for it is "lincRNA". The record is from RNAcentral. Lineage: Eukaryota; Metazoa; Chordata; Mammalia; Primates; Hominidae.